Molecule: ribosomal RNA, 390 nt
Filed under: uncultured bacterium
Lineage: Bacteria
Description: bacterial SSU rRNA
Rfam family: Bacterial small subunit ribosomal RNA
Source: RNAcentral
UUCGGGUUGUAAAGCACUUUCAGCAGUGAGGAAGGGUGUGUAUUUAAUAGAUGCGCAUUUUGACGUUUAGCUGCAGAAGAAGCACCGGCUAACUCCGUGCCAGCAGCCGCGGUAAUACGGAGGGGUGCGAGCGUUAAUCGGAAUUACUGGGCGUAAAGACGCAUGCAGGUGGUUUGUUAAGUCAGAUGUGAAAGCCCGGGGCGUCAACCUCGGAACUGCAUUUGUAAACUGGCAGGCUAGAGUACUGUAGAGGGGGGUAGGAAUUUCAGGUGUAGCGGUGAAAUGCGUAGAGAUCUGAAGGAAUACCGGUGGCGAAGGCGGCCCCCUGGACAGAUACUGACACUCAGAUGCGAAAGCGUGGGGAGCAAACAGGAUUAGAUACCCUGGUAG